This 99-nucleotide ribosomal RNA is filed under the name uncultured Cladosporium. RNAcentral's name for it is "5.8S ribosomal RNA". Lineage: Eukaryota; Fungi; Ascomycota; Dothideomycetes; Cladosporiales; Cladosporiaceae. The record is from RNAcentral.
GUUGCCUCCGGGGCGACCCUGCCUUCGGGCGGGGGCUCCGGGUGGACACUUCAAACUCUUGCGUAACUUUGCAGUCUGAGUAAACUUAAUUAAUAAAUU